GAGGGUACAGCUCAUUGGUAGAGUAUGUGCUUAGCAUGUAUGAAGUCCUGGGUUCAAUCCCUGGUAUCUUCG
RNAcentral lists this transfer RNA (72 nucleotides) under Camelus bactrianus (Bactrian camel). It matches the Rfam family "tRNA". From Rfam's summary of the family: Transfer RNA (tRNA) molecules are approximately 80 nucleotides in length. Their secondary structure includes four short double-helical elements and three loops (D, anti-codon, and T loops). Lineage: Eukaryota; Metazoa; Chordata; Mammalia; Artiodactyla; Camelidae. The record is from Rfam by way of RNAcentral. RNAcentral also lists the same sequence under 2 other names.